This 635-nucleotide ribosomal RNA is filed under the name uncultured fungus. RNAcentral describes it as "eukaryotic LSU rRNA". The stretch from base 243 to 397 matches the Rfam family "5.8S ribosomal RNA". Lineage: Eukaryota; Fungi. The record is from RNAcentral.
AAGUCGUAACAAGGUUUCCGUAGGUGAACCUGCGGAAGGAUCAUUAUCGAAUUAUAAGCGAGGGUUGUCGCUGGCCUUUCGAGGCAUGUGCACGCCCGAGCUCUUUAAUCCAAACUUUACACCUGUGAACUCUCUGUAGGGCGCUUCCCAGGAGCGUCCUAUGUUUUUAUUCAUAAACUACGUAUGUCAACAGAAUGUCAAUCAAUAUCUUCGCCUUAAAAAAAGCGUCGGUAAACUUAUACAACUUUCAACAACGGAUCUCUUGGUUCUCGCAUCGAUGAAGAACGCAGCGAAAUGCGAUAAGUAAUGUGAAUUGCAGAUUUUCAGUGAAUCAUCGAAUCUUUGAACGCACCUUGCGCUCCUUGGUAUUCCGAGGAGCAUGCCUGUUUGAGUAUCAUUAAAUUCUCAACCCACCUCUUUGAUUAGAGCGGGCUUGGACUUGGAGUCGUGCUGGCCCUCACCCGGGUCGGCUCCACUUAAAUGCAACAGCGGAAUCUUAAAACCAUUGGGUUUCGUCAUCAGUGUGAUAAUCAUGUCUCGCUGUUGACCGCCCUCCGGGUCCGCUUACAAUCGUCUUCGGACAAGCUUUAUAACAAUUUGAUCUCAAAUCAGGUAGGACUACCCGCUGAACUUAA